ACUGCUCAGUAACACGUAGCUAACCUACCCUUAAGUCAAGGAUAACCUCGGGAAACUGAGGAUAAUACUUGAUAGGAGAUUUACCCUGGAAAGAUUUAUCUCCCAAAUUCGAGCUUAAGGAUGGGGCUGCGGUGGAUUAGGUUGUUGGCGGGGUAAUAGCCCACCAAGCCUAUGAUCCAUAAGGGCUCUUAGCGGAGAAGCCCUGAGAGGGAAUCUGAGACACUAUUCCCAGCCCUACGGGGUGCAGCAGGUAGGAAUCUUUUGCAAUGCGCGCAAGCGUGACAAAGCGAGCCAGAGUGCUUUUCAAUGAAAAGCUUUUGCUAAAUGUAAAAAGUUUGGCGAAUAAGGACUGGGUAAGACGAGUGCCAGCCGCCGCGGUAAUCCUCGCGGUCCAAGUCGCAGCCAUCAUUAUUGGGUCUAAAACAUCCGUAGCUUGCUUAAUAAGUUCCUUGUGAAAUCUUAUCUCUUAAGGGUAAGGCGUGCAGGGAAUACUGUUGAGCUAGAGACUGGAAGACGUAAGAAGUAUGUUCGAAGUAGCGGUAAAAUGUGUUAAUCUCGGACAGACUCACAACAGCGAAGGCAUCUUACGAGGACAGUUCUGACAGUAAAGGAUGAAGGCUAGGGGCGCAAAGUGGAUUAGAUACCCAUGUAGUCCUAGCAGUAAACACUGAGCACUAAACAUUAGUACCUCUUCGAGAGGUAUUAGUGCUGAAGGGAAGCCGAAGAGUGCUCUACCUGGGAAGUAUAGCCGCAAGGGCCGAAAACUUAAAGGAAUUGGCGGGGGAG
RNAcentral lists this ribosomal RNA (786 nucleotides) under uncultured archaeon. RNAcentral's name for it is "bacterial SSU rRNA". It matches the Rfam family "Archaeal small subunit ribosomal RNA", at positions 85 to 876 of the family's 1478-position model. The record is from RNAcentral.